CGUGCAGGCGGUUUGGUAAGUUGGAUGUGAAAGCUCCCGGCUCAACUGGGAGAGGUCGUUCAAUACUGCCAGACUCGAGGAUGGUAGAGGGAGGUGGAAUUCCCGGUGUAGUGGUGAAAUGCGUAGAUAUCGGGAGGAACACCAGUGGCGAAGGCGGCCUCCUGGGCCAUUCCUGACGCUCAGACGCGAAAGCUAGGGUAGCAAACG
RNAcentral lists this ribosomal RNA (207 nucleotides) under uncultured bacterium. RNAcentral's name for it is "partial 16S ribosomal RNA". It matches the Rfam family "Bacterial small subunit ribosomal RNA", at positions 568 to 774 of the family's 1533-position model. The record is from RNAcentral.